GGGUGCGUAGCUCAGUGGUAGAGCGCCUGCCUUACAAGCAGGAUGUCGGCGGUUCGAAACCGUCCGCGCCCACCA
This 75-nucleotide transfer RNA is filed under the name Streptomyces bungoensis. RNAcentral describes it as "tRNA-Val". It matches the Rfam family "tRNA". From Rfam's summary of the family: Transfer RNA (tRNA) molecules are approximately 80 nucleotides in length. Their secondary structure includes four short double-helical elements and three loops (D, anti-codon, and T loops). Further hydrogen bonds mediate the characteristic L-shaped molecular structure. tRNAs have two regions of fundamental functional importance: the anti-codon, which is responsible for specific mRNA codon recognition, and the 3' end, to which the tRNAs corresponding amino acid is attached (by aminoacyl-tRNA synthetases). tRNAs cope with the degeneracy of the genetic code in two manners: having more than one tRNA (with a specific anti-codon) for a particular amino acid; and 'wobble' base-pairing, i.e. permitting non-standard base-pairing at the 3rd anti-codon position. RNAcentral also lists the same sequence under 12 other names. Lineage: Bacteria; Bacillati; Actinomycetota; Actinomycetes; Kitasatosporales; Streptomycetaceae. The record is from RNAcentral.